AUACGGAGGAUGCGAGCGUUAUCCGGAUUUAUUGGGUUUAAAGGGUGCGUAGGCGGAUUUUUAAGUCGGUGGUUAAAUGUCGGGGCUCAACCCCGGACCGCCAUCGAAACUGGAGAUCUAGAGAUAAAUGGAGGCAUGCGGAAUGCGAGGUGUAGCGGUGAAAUGCAUAGAUAUCACGCAGAACUCCGAUUGCGAAGGCAGCAUGCCGUGUUUGAUCUGACGCUGAGGCACGAAAGUGUGGGUAUCGAACAGGAUUAGAUACCCUGGUAGUCCACACAGUAAACGAUGAAUACUGGCUUUUCGGGUAGAUUGAUACCUGAGAGGCUGAGCGAAAGCGUUAAGUAUUCCACCUGGGGAGUACGCCGGCAACGGUGAA
RNAcentral lists this ribosomal RNA (376 nucleotides) under uncultured bacterium. Its description in RNAcentral is "bacterial SSU rRNA". It matches the Rfam family "Bacterial small subunit ribosomal RNA", at positions 523 to 898 of the family's 1533-position model. The record is from RNAcentral.